RNAcentral lists this ribosomal RNA (460 nucleotides) under uncultured bacterium. Its description in RNAcentral is "partial 16S ribosomal RNA". It matches the Rfam family "Bacterial small subunit ribosomal RNA", at positions 338 to 795 of the family's 1533-position model. The record is from RNAcentral.
CCUACGGGCGGCUGCAGUGAGGAAUAUUGGUCAAUGGGCGGGAGCCUGAACCAGCCAAGUCGCGUGAGGGACGACGGUCCUAUGGAUUGUAAACCUCUUUAGGCGGGGAGCAAUGCCGGGCACGUGUGCCCGGCGGGAGAGUACCCGCAGAAUAAGCCUCGGCUAACUCCGUGCCCGCAGCCGCGGUAAUGCGGAGGAUGCGAGCGUUAUCCGGUUUUAUUGGGUUUAAAGGGUGCGUAGGCGGAUUUUUAAGUCAGCGGUAAUAUGUCCGGGCUCAAGCCGGGCCGGCCGUUGAUACUGGGGAGCUUGAGUGGGCGAGAAGUAGGCGGAAUGCGUGGUGUAGCGGUGAAAUGCAUAGAGAUCACGCAGAACUCCGAUUGCGAAGGCAGCAUACCGGCGCCCGACUGACGCUGAGGCACGAAAGCGUGGGGAUCGAACAGGAUUAGAUACCCGGGUAGUC